GUUAGAGCGUUGAUCUGAUGAGCCAAAGGUCGCAGGUUCGAUUCCUGUCGUGAG
This 54-nucleotide transfer RNA is filed under the name Chromera velia. Its description in RNAcentral is "partial tRNA". It matches the Rfam family "tRNA", at positions 18 to 66 of the family's 71-position model. Rfam says of the family: Transfer RNA (tRNA) molecules are approximately 80 nucleotides in length. The record is from RNAcentral. Lineage: Eukaryota; Chromeraceae.